GAUGAACGCUGGCGGCGUGCCUAAUACAUGCAAGUCGAGCGAACAGACGAGGAGCUUGCUCCUCUGACGUUAGCGGCGGACGGGUGAGUAACACGUGGAUAACCUACCUAUAAGACUGGGAUAACUUCGGGAAACCGGAGCUAAUACCGGAUAAUAUAUUGAACCGCAUGGUUCAAUAGUGAAAGACGGUUUUGCUGUCACUUAUAGAUGGAUCCGUGCCGCAUUAGCUAGUUGGUAAGGUAACGGCUUACCAAGGCAACGAUGCGUAGCCGACCUGAGAGGGUGAUCGGCCACACUGGAACUGAGACACGGUCCAGACUCCUACGGGAGGCAGCAGUAGGGAAUCUUCCGCAAUGGGCGAAAGCCUGACGGAGCAACGCCGCGUGAGUGAUGAAGGUCUUCGGAUCGUAAAACUCUGUUAUUAGGGAAAAACAAAUGUGUAAGUAACUAUGCACGUCUUGACGGUACCUAAUCAGAAAGCCACGGCUAACUACGUG
Molecule: ribosomal RNA, 497 nt
Filed under: uncultured bacterium
Lineage: Bacteria
Description: partial 16S ribosomal RNA
Rfam family: Bacterial small subunit ribosomal RNA
Source: RNAcentral